AAGUGUUACAGCUUUUUUAGAAUUUGUCUAGCAGGCUUUUUGGUUUUUGCCAGAAAGUCAGU
Callithrix jacchus (white-tufted-ear marmoset) is the source of this 62-nucleotide small nuclear RNA. Its record names the gene U7. It matches the Rfam family "U7 small nuclear RNA". Rfam says of the family: Animal histone pre-mRNAs are spliced by a different mechanism than nuclear pre-mRNAs and self-splicing introns. This processing involves the U7 snRNP, which contains only one RNA species: U7. The record is from Ensembl. Lineage: Eukaryota; Metazoa; Chordata; Mammalia; Primates; Cebidae.